GGAGGGCUCUAGCUCAGCGGGAGGACAUCUGCUUUGCAUGCAGAAGGUCUCACGUUCAAUCCCCAGCAUCUCCA
Molecule: non-coding RNA, 74 nt
Organism: Podarcis lilfordi (Lilford's wall lizard)
Lineage: Eukaryota; Metazoa; Chordata; Lepidosauria; Squamata; Lacertidae
Source: the annotation of a GenBank genome assembly